Rhodobacteraceae bacterium SB2 is the source of this 286-nucleotide small RNA. It matches the Rfam family "5' ureB small RNA". The record is from Rfam. Lineage: Bacteria; Pseudomonadati; Pseudomonadota; Alphaproteobacteria; Rhodobacterales; Paracoccaceae.
CAUCAUCGAUUUGUUGCGGACAGAUAAAGUGAAUAUGGCUGUCAAACCCGCCGGCUGUGAGGAUCUUCCCCUCGCCGGCAAUCACCUCGGUGCCCGGUCCUAUGAUAAUAUCGACAUUGGGCUGCGUAUCGGGAUUGCCGGCCUUGCCGAUCGCGGCAAUGCGACCAUCGCGCAGCGCGAUAUCGGCUUUGUAAAUGCCCGUAUAAUCCAAAAUCAGCGCAUUGGUGAUCACCGUAUCAGCAGCGCCGGCGGCGCGCGUGGCUUGCGACUGCCCCAUACCGUCACG